Molecule: unclassified non-coding RNA, 280 nt
Filed under: Hevea brasiliensis (rubber tree)
Lineage: Eukaryota; Viridiplantae; Streptophyta; Magnoliopsida; Malpighiales; Euphorbiaceae
Source: RNAcentral
ACUGCACCUCCUGCUCUGGAGUUUAUGAACUGGGAAUAGCUGUGUCACGACGAAAAGCUGGGCGAGAGGCUACCAGACUUGACCCUGAUUAUAUUGUUCCUGUUUAUGUUGGAAAAUCGAAUAAUGUUAGAACUAGACUGCAGCAAUAUGGACGUGUAGGUGCUCAUUUAGAGAAUGACUAUUCCAAUAGCGAGCUGCACGUUGGUGAAAUAAUAUCUGGUCCAAAGAGAGCUGGAUUAUUUACAGAAACAUUUUCAAGAGGCUUCUCUAUUGUUUAUAG